This 500-nucleotide ribosomal RNA is filed under the name uncultured bacterium. Its description in RNAcentral is "partial 16S ribosomal RNA". It matches the Rfam family "Bacterial small subunit ribosomal RNA", at positions 29 to 506 of the family's 1533-position model. The record is from RNAcentral.
ACGAACGCUGGCGGCGUGCUUAACACAUGCAAGUCGAACGGUGAAGGGGUCUGCUUUUGUGGGCCCUGGAUGAGUGGCGACCGGGUGAGUAACACGUGAGUAACCUGCCCCCUUCUUCUGGAUAACCGCAUGAAAGUGUGGCUAAUACGGGAUAUUCUGGGUCUGUCGCAUGAUGGGUCUGGGAAAGAUUGCGCCUUUGGGUGUUUUUGGUGGGGGAUGGGCUCGCGGCCUAUCAGCUUGUUGGUGGGGUGAUGGCCUACCAAGGCGGUGACGGGUAGCCGGCCUGAGAGGGUGGACGGUCACACUGGGACUGAGACACGGCCCAGACUCCUACGGGAGGCAGCAGUGGGGAAUAUUGCACAAUGGGCGCAAGCCUGAUGCAGCGACGCCGCGUGAGGGAUGGAGGCCUUCGGGUUGUAAACCUCUUUCGCCAGUGAAGCAGGCCUGCUCCUUGUGGGUGGGUUGACGGUAGCUGGAUAAGAAGCGCCGGCUAACUACGU